AGUGAACGUUGGCGGCGUGGAUUAGGCAUGCAAGUCGAGCGAGAACCGUAGCAAUACGGGGACAGCGGCGAAAGGGACAGUAAUGUGUAGGUACCUACCCCGGGGUCUGGGAUAGCUGCGGGAAACUGCAGGUAACACCGGAUAAUGUCUUCGGACCAAAGGUGUGAUUCCACCUUGGGAGGGGCCUGCAUCCUAUUAGGUUGUUGGCGGGGUAACGGCCCACCAAGGCAACGAUGGGUAGAGGGUGUGAGAGCACGACCCGCGUCAUUGGGACUGAGAUACUGCCCAGACACCUACGGGUGGCUGCAGUCGAGGAUCUUCGGCAAUGGGCGAAAGCCUGACCGAGCGACGCCGCGUGCGGGAUGAAGGCCUUCGGGUUGUAAACCGCUGUCGUAGAGGAGGAAAUGCAGGGGGGUUCUCCCUUCUGUUUGACCUAUUCUAGGAGGAAGGACGGGCUAAGUUCGUGCCAGCCGCCGCCGUAA
This 482-nucleotide ribosomal RNA is filed under the name uncultured bacterium. Its description in RNAcentral is "partial 16S ribosomal RNA". It matches the Rfam family "Bacterial small subunit ribosomal RNA", at positions 28 to 523 of the family's 1533-position model. The record is from RNAcentral.